UACCCUGGUAGUCCACGCCGUAAACGAUGUCUACUAGCCGUAGGGGAACUUGAUUCUUUUGUGGCGCAGCUAACGCACUAAGUAGACCGCCUGGGGAGUACGGCCGCAAGGUUAAAACUCAAAUGAAUUGACGGGGGCCCGCACAAGCGGUGGAGCAUGUGGUUUAAUUCGAUGCAACGCGAAGAACCUUACCAGGCCUUGACAUCCCCGGAACUUUCUAGAGAUAGAUUGGUGCCUUCGGGAACCGGGUGACAGGUGCUGCAUGGCUGUCGUCAGCUCGUGUCGUGAGAUGUUGGGUUAAGUCCCGUAACGAGCGCAACCCCUGUCCUUAGUUGCCAGCGAGUAAAGUCGGGAACUCUAAGGAGACUGACGGUGACAAACCGUAGGAAGGUGGGGACGACGUCAAGUCAUCAUGGCCCUUACGGCCUGGGCUACACACGUGCUACAAUGGGCGGUACAGAGGGCGGCGAACCAGCGAUGGUGAGCGAAUCCCUUAAAACCGUUCGUAGUCCGGAUUGAAGUCUGCAACUCGACUUCAUGAAGUCGGAAUCGCUAGUAAUCGCGAAUCAGAAUGUCGCGGUGAAUACGUUCCCGGGCCUUGUACACACCGCCCGUCACACCAUGGGAGUGGGUUGCUCCAGAAGUGGUUAGCCUAACCU
Molecule: ribosomal RNA, 659 nt
Filed under: uncultured Pseudomonadota bacterium
Lineage: Bacteria; Pseudomonadati; Pseudomonadota
Description: bacterial SSU rRNA
Rfam family: Bacterial small subunit ribosomal RNA
Source: RNAcentral